This 379-nucleotide ribosomal RNA is filed under the name uncultured eukaryote. RNAcentral's name for it is "partial 18S ribosomal RNA". It matches the Rfam family "Eukaryotic small subunit ribosomal RNA", at positions 592 to 976 of the family's 1831-position model. The record is from RNAcentral.
CAAUAGCGUAUAUUUAAGUUGUUGCAGUUAAAAAGCUCGUAGUUGGAUUUCGGAUGGGACUUGCCGGUCCGUCGUUUCGAUGUGCACUGGCCAGUCCUAUCUUGUUGUCGGGGACUAGCUCCUGGGCUUCACUGUCCGGGACUAGGAGCUGACGAGGUUACUUUGAGUAAAUUAGAGUGUUCAAAGCAAGCCUACGCUCUGAAUACAUUAGCAUGGAAUAACACGAUAGGACUCUGGCUUAUCUUGUUGGUCUGUGAGACCAGAGUAAUGAUUAAGAGGGACAGUCGGGGGCAUUCGUAUUUCAUUGUCAGAGGUGAAAUUCUUGGAUUUAUGAAAGACGGACUACUGCGAAAGCAUUUGCCAAGGAUGUUUUCAUUGA